CAGUCUUCGCAACGAAUACAUAGGGGAGCAGGGAGACGAAAAGGAUGAAGGUGGUCGGCGGUGGUCGGAGGUGGUCGGAGGUGGUUGGAGCUGUUCGGAAAUGGUAAGAGGUGGUAGGUGCUGGUAGGAGGUGGCAGGAGGCAGCAGGGGGUGGUAGGAGGCGUUUGGCGGUGGUUGGAGCGGGUAGGAAGUGUUUGGCGGUGGUUGGGAAGCGAUCGGCGGCGGUCGAGAAAGACGAGGACGACGAAUGGCGUGGAGGAGGAGGAGAAGGACGGUGACAAGGUGGUCGAGGAGGACGAUGGUCGUCGGAGGCGGUUGGCCGCGGUUAAGCGUCUUCCCACGGGGAUGAUCGAGCUGAUCGACAUAUCUAAGUCGCAGUCGACAAGUAGUCUUACGUACUCAUUUUGUACCGACUCAAUCUCAAGCUUUCAUACCGACACUACUGUGGCUGCUACGAAUGUCGGUGCGAGCCCGUUAGGUAAAGUCGACUGAGCAAACCCCUUUUACGCUCCCAGGCCCACCUGGGCCCACUUGCCCGCCGAAAACUGGUCAUAAAAAUUUACCCGGGGGUAUCCGUCUUUAUAAAAAGUGUAGAAUUGCUUUCACUUCCGAAAGGGAGAUACAGACGUAUAAAAGCACACACAUAGCCUGAGAGAAUCCAUGCCAUCAUUAAUCUUUUUGUAAACAUGUCACGAUUCAACAAGGAAAUAUUCAGGUGACAGGAGCUCGCUCAUGA
Long non-coding RNA from Neodiprion fabricii, 736 nucleotides. RefSeq lists it as uncharacterized. NCBI's taxonomy places the organism in Eukaryota, Metazoa, Arthropoda, Insecta, Hymenoptera, Diprionidae. The record is from RefSeq and is a predicted model, not a curated record. The transcript is spliced from 3 exons.